UUUUUUUUAAGUAACUUUGGCCGCACACAGAAUUACCUCACGUUUUUCUUCUGGUGUGAAGGGCCGCAGUCCCCUCAGACUCCGUAAGCGCUCGGUAGGCCUUGUUCCCCCUUCCAGAAACCAGCUUCUGUCCCCUGAAGCUUGUACGCAGGCUUAAUGCUGCCGCUUUUCCACCUGGCAGGUCGGGGAUGUCCCGCCGCGGCUGCCUCUCCCCGGGAAGAGAAGGGCAGCCCCGGCUCAAACGGGUGAGGUUAGAGUGGGGCUGGGGAGGGGGGUCACUCACUGCCCGAGCUCUGGCAUGGAUUACAGCAGCUUGAAGGACUUCUUGAGAGGGGGAGCGAGGAUGCACAGCCCACAAAAGGCUGCUUCGUCCGUUACUUGUGACACAUCCAGUGUUGACACCAUAGCGGACCUUCUGUCAGGGCUGAAUACGGCUAGGUUAUCUGGACACUGCAUGCUGCCAGGAAUCAUGGAACUGUCAAACCCAGCAGAGUCCCUGGCUGGUGUAGGAUUGACAAAGUGGUUGUUACCUGUUACCAGCUGUAGCUCUUGAGCUGAGACAGAGGCACGUGCAUCCGGCAUCACCCCACAACCAAGAGGCUUGAAAAUAAACAGGAACCCACCAACAGCGGGUGGGGAGAAAAGCUGUGGGGCUGCCAAAGGGACCUGGUAAAGGACGAGCAGGCGGUGAGAGGCAGAGCGGUGGGCUCAGCCGGUCUGAGCCCUCCUCACCUGCUGCUGCCUUCACUGAACUCUACUCCCCAUCAAAGUUUAGACUCCUCCACUUGCAAAUCGUCAUUGAUGCUUAUAUGCUUUUUUUUUCCCCUUUUCCCAUGAUUCGUUCUCAAAAGGUUGUUUCUGCUGCCCCAGGAGAGUGUUUCCAUCUCAGAGCCCUGACAGAGCCCUGGCUGGGCCAGCUUUACUUGCACAGCCGGGGCUCCCUCUGCCAUCUUGUAAAGAGAACAGAAGGGAUUAGGGUUCUCACUUGUAACUCGUUCCACAACACCGAAACACAUGUCUUCCUGCACAAGCUAUACCCACCUCUGUAUUUAUGUUACUUUAGCCCAUGUAUUUCAUGUUUUUGUGGCAAAAAAAAAAAAAAAAAAAGGGCCAAAUUCACUAGUCUGUUCAAUCUGCUUUGUGGCAAUCCAGCAACGCAAAAGAACUGUAAAGCCUGCUUAAUUGGGCAAUUAAAUUUUAUGACUGCUCUGCAUCCCUGAAGCGGUAAAAGGCAGCCAGAAUGCACCAGGAAAUCUCGCCCAUCAGUGCGAGAUGCACAAACACCUCCCCAGGCCUGUGCAGAGAGGCUGAGCAUCGUCUCUGGCCCAGCUGGGCCACGCUGGCCGCUGGAUGUCCGGAGGACAGGCAUACACAGAGUUUAGGCAGAGUUUACCUUUGCAGGAAUGCAGGCAUAGCCCCUUCUUCUUUAAAAUGUACUUUUCAUUGUUUAUAAUGCAAGUCCACUGAAGAUAAUGGUGCUUGGGGUGUAGAAACUGGACCCUGAUCUUGUCAAACCCUUAGUCUGUGUGUGAGCAGAAACCCCCCUGAAAUCUGUGGUGAUGUUUUUACGAUCAAAUCUUACUUUUCAGGAGCACCACUGAUGUAAAAUUUUGGUUUUGCUUCCAGUAACCCAUCUGGAAAUAGAAUAAUAACUUUACUGCUAGCAGGCUCAUCACCAUUUUGUUAGUCUUUCUUGGAGACUGUUGCGGUCACUAGCAUUGUUUGUUUAAAAAAUAAAAACAACAGAAAUGGUCUGAGCACAGGAGGCAGGUCCGGGAGCGAUGCUGGUCCUGGUCUGCGCUCUGAGUCUGCUCCUGACCCCCCAGGUGACCUUGAACUGAAGUCGUAGGUCUGAGCACUACCUCCUUUGGGAAAGCUGAGGUCUGGGUUUGAAGCUUGCAUUUUAAACUGACCCCUUUAAAUGUUUUCUGUAACUAUCUGGUAGUAUUUUCUUGAAAUGCCUCUUCUGGAGGCGAGGUGUUAAAUAUGGCAGGAAGGGGUUAAGUGGGUCUGGCUGUUUCAUAAAGGCAGGCAUUUUGUUAUUCCCCAAGGAAAUGGGAGCUACUUUCUGGAGAAGGAAGGGACAUGGGCUGUGCACGAUUCUGAACUACCCACAGAAAGGCUCAAGAUGAAUUAUGUAGAGAUUGUAACUGGAAUAUGAAGUUAUUGCUAAUAUCCUUGUCAGUGAAAACCGUCUCUAGGAAAAAGAACAGUUUUUAUUCUAAAGCAGGAAGAUUUAGUUUAAGAUUAUGUAAGUAAAGCACCCACACAAAACCUGCUAUUCCUUUUUCUCGCUCCAUUCACAUUAAAAAAUAUACUUGUUCUGUUACAAAGAAUUUGUUUUGCACUUACUCUUAGCAGUGCAAGUAGCUGGGAAAUGUCCCUUCUCGAUUUUGUGGCUGCUUAGUUACCACAGCUUCUUGCUAUCCAAAUAGACUCGCUGUGUCAGGGCUGUGAGAUGGGGAGAGAUAAACACAGGGAGCAAUUGUGGCUUCCUGCCACCAGCCCUGCUCAGAAAGCAAGCAAGCAAUAGCAGAUGAACCGUUUCUGCAGCGGCGAUGGGAAGCUGUGGCCUCACAGGAAUAGGGCAACUGAAAAACACAACCGAGUAUUCUGAGAGCAGGAUAAGUAGUGUCAAAUAAUGUGCUGUCUUCUAGUUCCACUUGGCUUGUGCAAUAGUUUUAAGGCAGCCGUUGCUUUGCCAGGAAAUAGUCCGCGUAGAUAUGCACAGAAAGUAUCAGGUUUAGGGUAAUGCAGUGGGAUGCUCUAUAUGCAAAACUUACUAUGGUGGCAGCCAAAUUAAAAAGUAUGUAAUACAGUCAUUUAUCAGCUGCGAUUGUUGCAUCAGUGUUGCUUAGAAGUAACCAUCAGGUGUUGAGUUUUGUCACCUGACUGUACUUUUCCUUGUUUAUUCAGUUUUGGAAACUGUGACUAGAAAGGAACAAAAAGAAAAGUAGGUGAUGGGAGAGAAAAUAAGAGAAAUUAAACCAAAACAAUAAAGUUGAAAUUAAAGAAGCAGCAGGGGUGCAAAAGAGGCAAGAUCCAAAACACAAACAGCUCUUGAGCAAACCAGCCUUUGCAUUCACUUUGGUGGGAUGUGGAGCAGGCAGUUUUCCUAUCAGAGACUGCAGGACUCGUUCCUGCUGUCGCAGGGCUUUGUAACAGCAGUUUAAUCAGACCCACUUUUGCAGAGGAAGGGAAAUAACAUCAUCUGUUUGUUGUUUUUUUAACUUUCAGCAAGGUUGCAUGGGGUGCAAUUAACUGGUGCUAACAGUAGCUAAGCCCAAGCAUGUUUCAUGCUAAGGAAAGUUACACAAUGCUGUGGGUGGCAGAGUAUUUCUGGGAGGCACAUUUCGCUGCGGACUUUGCUUGCAUCACUUCCUGAAAUGGAGAUUGACUGAUGUGAUAUACUUUUAUUUUUAUUCGACUUUUUUCUCAAACCACACGUUACACUCACAUGCUGUUUGCAGAGUUAGGUUUUGAAGGCAAGACCAUACAUAAAUGCUCAAAUCAAGCUGCACUGUAUUUUAACAGAAGCUCUGCCUGGCUUUUCCAUUUUUUUUCUGUUGCUCUGGCAUCUCCAAAUGGAAACUCUGCUAAUGCACUGAAUAAAAAGGGAAUGGCUUUACUGAAUUAAAAUUAUAUUCCUUGUGAUAUUUGUCAUAAUUCUAAUUCACUUUACUUUGGGCUGUCCUCAACUUGUGCUUUCUUAAUGUGCUGCAGAUUUCUGAGUUGACGGCGGGUAACUGUGAGGAGCCAAGAGCUGGUCAGGAUGCAACUGGAGUUUUAACUCACAGGAAAGUGU
Molecule: long non-coding RNA, 3805 nt
Organism: Harpia harpyja (harpy eagle)
Lineage: Eukaryota; Metazoa; Chordata; Aves; Accipitriformes; Accipitridae
Exons: 3
Source: RefSeq, a predicted model, not a curated record